Molecule: unclassified non-coding RNA, 291 nt
Filed under: Hevea brasiliensis (rubber tree)
Lineage: Eukaryota; Viridiplantae; Streptophyta; Magnoliopsida; Malpighiales; Euphorbiaceae
Source: RNAcentral
GGGCUACGUGAGCACAAAGAACCACUAAAGAAACAUCCAGAAUUGGAUAGAUUGCUCAGGCAAGAGUAUUGCAGCUUGGAGGACUUCCGCACCAAAGAGAAGAAUGUAAAAGAGGAGAGUCAUUAGCUGGUAAUAAUGCAAAUCCCUGAUGGUGACAUCCUCCCAAUUUUGAAAAUCAAUUCUGAUAAGCAGGGAGAGACUUGGCUUAUAUUUUGUUGGAUGAGAAAAUUUGGUUUUUGUAUAUUGUAUUUUGGGGGAGUUGUCAUUUGCAUUAUAUUGUAUAUUGUUUUU